GGUAUAACUCAGUUGGUAGAGUGCUUGCCUUACAUGUACUAGGCCCUGGGUUCAAUCCCCAGCACC
This 66-nucleotide transfer RNA is filed under the name Urocitellus parryii (Arctic ground squirrel). Its description in RNAcentral is "Spermophilus parryii (Arctic ground squirrel) tRNA". It matches the Rfam family "tRNA". Rfam says of the family: Transfer RNA (tRNA) molecules are approximately 80 nucleotides in length. Their secondary structure includes four short double-helical elements and three loops (D, anti-codon, and T loops). RNAcentral also lists the same sequence under 1 other name. Lineage: Eukaryota; Metazoa; Chordata; Mammalia; Rodentia; Sciuridae. The record is from Rfam by way of RNAcentral.